Molecule: small RNA, 171 nt
Organism: Clostridium sp. CAG:7
Lineage: Bacteria; Bacillati; Bacillota; Clostridia; Eubacteriales; Clostridiaceae
Rfam family: Clostridiales-1 RNA
Source: Rfam
AGAUACCAGGUGCAAAAGGUCGGAAAUCCGUCGCAAGCUUGCUUACAGGAGGAUUUUUGAACUUGGGACUCGUACAAACAUGAGUAAGAAGCCAUUUUUUGAAGAAAAAUGAGCGAAUUACGAAUGUUUUUAGAAUUGCGAGAGUGCAAAGCGCGUAGCAAUUCGGUAUCA